RNAcentral lists this long non-coding RNA (12249 nucleotides) under Homo sapiens (human). RNAcentral describes it as "HSALNT0343592". The record is from RNAcentral. Lineage: Eukaryota; Metazoa; Chordata; Mammalia; Primates; Hominidae.
CCUUGGGAUCUGCCUGCCUUGGCCUCCCAAAGUGCUGGGAUUACAGGCGUGAGCCACUGCACCUGGCAUAAUUUUGGCUACUCUUAAUCAACCCCAGAAGGUUUAAUAAGAACUUUGAUUAGCUACUUUCUAGCUUCAUGAAUUUACCAAGCUAUUCCUGGUUUUGCACCUUUAAGAAACUCAUUUUUUAAAUCUGAUGAAUAUAUGUCCAUAAGAAGCUUUACUUGGUUAAAAUUAAAUACAUACAAAAUUGACAGAAAAAUUAUUUUGUCAAAGAAAAAUGAACGAAGAGUAGUGUCAUUUUUCAUUGUCACAUUCAUUUCUCUAAGAAAUGGAUCUGUCCUUCAACAUCUCCUCCUAGCCCAUACUGUUUGAAUAUAGAGGGCUCUUGGGCCAUGGUCCGGGGAUUAUUUAUAAUCAGCAACAAGGGGUUACAGUGUCAUGGCUUACAAUUUGGUGGGGUGGGACCAGGGACUAGUUGGAGUUUUUUGUUUUGGUCGUCAUAAUUUAUUUGAAGCAGGGAGCUUGGCUCUCCACCCUUUGUACUUAUUAGUCCACCAAACAUCUGCCCAGUCACCACUGGGACUUUUAACACUCCAUACUUAUACAUGCUUGAUUUUUUGUGGUAUAGACAUAGACACUUAUCAACAUGGGCUAGCUUCUUUUGACCUUGCUCAUCUCCAUACGGGAUGACUGAACAGGCAUCAAACUGAAGGGUUAAAAAAUGACUAGCCUGAGUUACACUGAUGACAAGAUGACCUUCUGUUGAAAAGAAAAAAGAGAAUAAAUAAGUGAUUAUUAAGCUCUUUUUAGAGUUAAUUUGGUGGGGGUGGGCUGUGGAGUGACAGUUCAUGAUUCUGGAGGUGGCGGCACCUUCUUGACUCGGGUGUGAUGAGUCCAUCCUCUUUCUGUUGUCCAGACUGCAGUCUCAGUACAUAGGAGCACUAGGUAGGGUCCUUCCCAGGCUGGUUCGAGCUUCCUUUUCUUCUACCCUUGGAUGAGAACAUGGUCUCAAGGCCAAUGCUGAUGUUCUGGAAACUCCAGGGGUGAUGCCUGUGCUAGGAGACCUUUAGUCCCAAGGGAAAAGAAGGUAGAGCCUAGACCAAGUAUAUAAUUUUUGAGGAAAUGAUCCUUUGUUUCAAACAUAGGGAUGUCAGCAAUGGAGUGUAAGUAGGGCAUUCCAUAGAGCGUUUCCUCAGGUGACAGGCCAAUAUCUUUCCAAGGGGCAGUCCGGAUUCUUAACCAAGCAAUAGGAGUAUAUUUAGUCCAUGGCAAUCGAGUUUCUAAAACUAAGUUAAGUGGUUUAUUAGAGUCUGAUUCAUCCACUCUACUCUUCCUGUGGAGGAUGGAUGCCAAGGAGUAUGGUAUUCCCAAUGUAUAUCUAGUACCUGUGCUAACUUCUUAAUGACAUGCACAGUGAAAUGGGUUGCAGUAUCUGAAUCAGUAUUUUCUAUUAGUUCAAAUCUGGGUAUGAUGUUUUCAAUUAGCGCUUUAACUACAUUACUGGAGGUUGCACGUGAGAAUGGGAUUGCCUCUACCCAGUGGGUAAAAUGGUCUAUUAUUACUAAUAAGUAUAACUACCAAUUGGAGGCAUUUCAGUGUAAUUGAUCUGAACACUUUGAAAUGGUCUCAGUGCUGGAUUUCUUCCACCAAGGCGCAAUUUCCUUAGAUCCUGCUUAUUAGCUUUUUUUACAUGUUAAGCAACUAUCUAUAACUUGUUUGGCCAGGGUGUAAAUUCUUAUACACCCAUAAACCCGGAGAACUGCAUUGCACAUUGCUUGGGGUCCCCAAUGGGUCCCUUGAUGUAAUUGAGACAAGACUUCCCUCAUGAGAGGUUUUGACAACAUUUCCCUUUGAUCUGAUAAUAUCCAUUUCCUAUCCGCAUUUUCUUUAGCUCCUAUUUUUAUCAACGUCUUUUGUUCAAUGGAAGAGAAAACGGGUUACAGUAGGAGGAGGGCAUGGAGUUAAAUGGAAGAAAUGGCAACUUGUUUUGCUAUUUUAUUGUAACCGACUGAGUUAUAGAGAGAAUGCCACAGUCUGAGACUAAUUCAGUGAUCCUUUAUUGCCAGCAACCGAGAGACGGCUAGAGCUCAAAAUUCUCUCAGCCCCGAAGAAGGGGCUACACAUCUUUUUACACCUUGGUCUAAAGAGGGGAGGAGGAGUGUAGCUGAAGCAAUUUUUUACAGAAGCAGAACAGGCAAAAAAGUUGAAAGAUAAAUGGUUACAGAAACAGUAAUAAGAAAAUAAACAGUUCCAGGUGCAGGGGCUUAAAUUAUCACAAAGUGAUAAACGCAAAGGCUUUGGGCACCGUCAACCGAGUGCGUUCCCAGGAGCUGCUGGUACAGCUUGCCUCAGUAUCUUAUCAGUAAGCGCAUUCUUGGAUGUGCUUGGAGUCAGCUUGCACCAGUUAUGUCCUUAAGGGAGGGGGACAAGGGGCUGCAAGUGAAGAAACCAAAAUGGAGUCUGUCCAGCUCUCUCAGCUAAGAGAGAGUCAAUCAGGUUAAAAGAAGUUAGGGUAUCACAUUUCCCACUCGUGUUUGGGGGAAUCAGAUCAUUGAUUCCUCGGUUAUAACAAGGGUGUUAUAUUGGGUUCUAAGAUACAUAAGAUUGACAGAAGCUAUGCGUUGCUUUACAAAAUUAAGAAACCAAUUUAAUAUACAAGGCCUGAAGACUAACCCUAACAAGAGGAGGAGAAGGGGGUCCCGCCAACCCAGUAAUUAGAGUAGUUAGCCAGGGAUUCCAGUUAAACAUGCUUUGGUACUUUGGUACUCCAGGAAUGAGAAAGGUGGUGUUACUUUCUUGUUCCUUCUGGCAUCUAUCUAGAUUUUCUCGAACUCUUUGAAGAGUAUUUUUUAUGACUCCAGACUGAUUGGCAUAGAAACAACAACUUUCUUCUAGAGCUGUGCAUAAACCUCCUUGGGAGAUAAAUAGCAGAUCUAAGCCUCGGCGGUUUUGAAGAACUACUUCAGCUAGAGACUCUACCUGGGCAUGUAGUAUAUUUAUGGCUGAUUGGAGAUUGCUUAAAUCAGCAUCUACCUGUUGAGAUAGUGAUAUUAGUCCAGUUUCUCCUUGAAUCAGGGCAGUCGUGCCAAUAGCUGCUGACGUAGCUAUGCUAAGGCCAGCUAGAAGGGGUACAAGGAGUAGGGCAGCUCGGUGAAACCUGAAAUGCAAUUCAGGGGGAGCAAUGAGAAGUUGUCCUUCUGGCCCACUGUACAUGUAGAUCUGGGGGAGUACAUGAAUCAACAUGCAUAGGAGAGGUCCAGGUUCAGUCCCAUUGAUGCAGCGAGUGAGGCCUGAAAUGCAGGCCAACCAGGUAUUUUUGGGUGCCUGGUAGGAGACUGAGGGGUUUAAGGAAGUAAGGAGAGACUCACUACAAGUAGCCUGAAAGGGAGAAGCAGGUAAGUUAUACCUUGCGCUAAUUAGACAGAAGGCAUUCCCUGACACAUCUCCUAGUGUAAGGGCAUGGGGGCACGUAUGACAAGAAAGAGAGUCCAUUUUGAGCAUGGCUUCUACUCCUAAUCCAACAUAAUAUGGGGGUUUGGCCUUUCGGCACAACCAGCAAUCUCAGGCUAGUUUAGGCUUGGUGAGAUUAAGGAGGUGAUGUAUCCCGUCCAAAAUGGACAUCGGGCUGGGUUGGAGGUAUUGUCAUUGCAGCUGGGGUCUCAGAACCAGGAAUGGCAGUGGGACAGUUAAAUCGACUCUCUCUGGGUGUUUUUGGAACAUAGGGUCACCUAAAUCAGUUAAAGUUCUGAUUGGCUUCAUGGGACCAGGAAUUUUUUCUGGAUGGUGAACAUAGUUCCAACAUCAAAUCCUGAAAUAUAAAGCCUUAAUCCCUAUGACAUGCUGUAAUACCAUUGAGUUAAACUAGGGUUACGGAGAGUUAUAGUAAGAGGAUUACAAUUUCCUAUAGUACACGGCUUAGGAUGGGAAGCACAAGCUAUGGAAAGGGUUGAGGAUCAGGUUCAUCCUCCAGAGUAAGUGGCCAAGGUUACACACAUGCAGUAAGGGCAGAAAAACUGGUAAGAAUCUCGACAACUAGAGUCAGGGCGAUUUCCAGGACAAAGGUAAAAGUCAACGCUCUGGAGCCUUUUUUCUGCACCCUUAGAACUUCCACAUCCAGUUUGGCUUCUGGUGUGUCCGAACCCUGCAGCAAGGUCAGCGUUCCCUGCUCUCAUGAUCGGCAGAUUGCAUUGCUCUUCAAGGGUAUGGGCAGGGUCGGGGAACAAAGCACAUAAACCGACUACAAAAGAGACUUCCUUGGAGGGUCCCACCUUCCAAGUGGUGUUUGCAAACACACAUCCUGUCAUGAAGGAAGUGAGGAGAAAAGAGUAGGAAGGGGCAGAGGACAUAACAGGUGGAAACAGACAGAAGAGGUAAAUAAAAAGAAUUAAUUCGAUAGCUUUACUCAACUUAGGCGCAGUUUUAAGGGGCCUGGCCUAGGCUUGGGGACCCAUUUUUUUUGCUGGGCUUUGUUGGCCUUUUUGAUGCGAGAAUGAUGAAUCCAAGCAGGAGUGCCGUCCACCUUCAGAGCUGUUGGUGUGGUGAGGAUGACAGUAUGAGGUCCUUUCCAGGCAGGAGUCAGUCCUUUUUUCUGGAACUUUUUAACAUACACUAGGUCACCCAGCUGGAAAGAGUGGCAGGGCCCAGUCUGGUCAGGAACUGGGCUGGGGUGUGCUCCCCUGACAAGCAGCUGGAUGAUGUCUUGUACCCGUUGGAGAGACUGCAGGUACUGUAACAAGUUAGCUUGUGAGAUUUCUGCUAAAUGGGUAUCCUUUAGCUUAGGCAAGAUAGGCGGAGCCCUUCCAUACAUGAUUUCAAAAGGUGAAAACCCAGCCUGGUAAGGGGUGCAUCUUACUCUAAGAAGGGCUAAAGGAAGGAGCUUUACCUAGUUUUCACUGGUUUCUAGGAUUAAUUUUGCAAGAGUACUUUUUAGGAUGGGGUUCAUGCAUUCUACUUGUCCAGAGCUCUGGGGUCGAUAGGCACAAUGGAGUUUCCAUUGAAUGUUUAAUGCCUUGCUGACCGACUGAGCUAUGGACGAGGUGAAGGCUGGUCCAUUAUCAGACCUUAUUACAACAGGCAGUCCAUGUUGAGGGAUGAUUUCAUUGAGUAAAAGCUUAACUACCGUGGUAGCAGUUUCGUUUUUGGUGGCAAAUGCCUCAGUCCAUCCAGAAAAGGUGUCUACUAGCACCAGGAGGUAUUUAUACCCUGCCAAGUGUGGUUUUACCUCUGUAAAGUCAAUUUCCCACCUUCCUCCUGGCAAGCCUCCCUGGAGGCGGUGGCCUGGGCUGGGCUUAGGACCUUGCUUGGUGUUUACUUGGGCACAAGCCGUUUACUGGAGAGCUGCUUGGUUAGUUAAGUCCUGAAGGUGGGGGAUCUUGAAAUGGCUCCUUAGAAGCUGGGCCAGUUUUACUCCUCCUAAAUGGGUGGUAGAAUGUAGAUGAUUGAUAAAAGUUUCCCCAAGGGCUUGGGGCAUGAAGAUUCUGGAAUCAGGAAGAAUUCACCAACCUUCCUGAUUUUUACUGGCUUGAAGAUCCGAAGCUUGUUUUUCUUCCUCUGGGGAGUAUUCUGGGUAGUCUGCCCAGUCAGUUGUGGAAAGGACACAGAGGGCAGCAGGGUUAAAGGCACGACCAGGAGCUGAGCUGCCUCUCAAGCUGCAGAGUCUGCUCUUUGGUUACCACGAGCAAUGGCCAUGUCUUCUCUUUGAUGUCCUUUGCAGUGAAUUGCAGCCACCUGUUGAGGGAGCCAAACAGCUUCAAGCAGGGCUAAAAUUUCUUCUUUGUUGUUGACACUCUUUCCUGCUGAGGUAGGAAAUGCUGGGAAGAAAAAGCUGGGCCUUCUUGGCUGGGACCUGAUACCCGAAUUCCUGAAGGAGUCCUGUACAGGCUGGUAAUCAUUUGUUCCGGGUUUCUGGACCGGCAAAAAUGGAAUAUUCCAGGCGAUCUCACAUGGUGUGAGUAUACCAGCUUGUAAUAGUUGCUGAAUAUGAGGAUUAAUUCCCUCUAUAGCCCACAGAAUCAUAGGAUAUUGUUUGACCUGGACCGGCAGGGUGGUGGCCAGGAGUUCUACAACAGCUGGCAGAUGGUGGUUUGCCAGUCCUGGGAGGUAUGAGGAAACAGAGUCUGUAAAGCCAGUAGGAGAGGAUUACUUUUAUUCUCCGGCAGUUGUGAGGGUGAAACUAAGAGAUAUUCCUCUGACCGAAGGGUGGUUAGCAGGAGCUGAGCAGUAGGGGGCAUUGUGUCCCCUAACAUGAGGUGAGUUUGUUGGGCCGAGAAGGAGAUGGACGCCUGUAGCUUAUGAAGCAGGUCUCAUCCGAGGAGGGAGAAGGGGCACUCUGGGACCACGAGGAACAAGUGGGUUACUCUUUUCUGUCCUAAACUCACCUCUCGUGAGUGGGUGACAGGAUAUUCCUGAAUAGCUCCAGUAGCCCUUUACUCAGCAACCUUUUUAUUAGACACUGCCUAAGGGUGUCUGGAGUACUGAGUGUUCCACCCCGGUGUCAAUUAGGAAGCGUACAGGCUGGCCCCCCACUGUGGUGGUCACCAUGGGUUCCCGGGGCCAAGUGACAAAGAGCCCUGGCCCCGUCAAUCAUCAGAUUCCUCUGCUGCGGGGCAGGGUGAGGACCUUUUUCUUUUCUGGUUUCUCCUCUGGCUUUAAUGGGCAUUCCUUUCUCCAGUGUCCAAUCUGCUUGCAAGAAGCACAUUGGUUUCUUUAUAGGGGAGUCCUCUCACGUUUCUGGCCUUCCUGGUGGGGACUCGGGGUCCCCUGGUCAGUGCUCUGUGAUGGGGGCCCUUCCUUUUUGGCUUCUUGGAUGGCAGCCACUAAGCUUUUUGCCUGUCUUUUUGAUGCUUUGUCUGCAGCCCUUUCAGCUGCCUGAGCUACCUGUUUUUGCUUUUCAAAUUCUCGAUUGUCGAAAACUCUCUGGGCUAUCUCUAAAAGCUGGCUGAUGUAAGGAAAUACUUUCUGGCUUCUCUUCAGAUAUGGUCCCUCUCUUCAGAGGUGAAAAGGGAUGAAAGGAGUUGCUGACACUCAUCCCAGGUGGGCCGGUGAGUCUGGAGCACAGACUCCAUCAGUGAGGUUAAGACCUGGGGCUUUUCAGAAAAGGGGGGAUUAUGAGCCUUCCAGUUGUACAGGUCAGAAGUAGAGAAGGGGACAUAAACUAAAAAUGGAGCACAACGCCCACUGCCCAAAGGGAUUUGGGCCUCUGUCAGUGGGAGGAGCGGGGCCACCUCCUCCGGCUGAGGCCAUAAUUGGGAGGAUAUAGGCAGAGAGGCCACAGAGGAUGUAGUUGAGGAGACAAGGGAAGAUUCUGGGGGAGGAGGAGGGUUAUAGGGUGGUGGAAAUGGGUGAAGAAAACUUUCCUCUUCUUCAGAAGGAGGCAGUACAGGAGGAAUCGAGGGAGCUGAGGGUGGAGGCAAAAGUGAGGUCUGGCUAAAAAGGACCUUGGAGGUAGGAUCACGAAUGGCUACAGAGUUUUAUCACGAGUGGAGCCAUGAAGGAGAGCUCUGGACUAAAUCUAGCCAUUGAUCAAUGUAGGGAAACUGAUCGGGGUGACCGGGAGUUCCAACAACGACCCACCACACAGCCUGAACAGCUGUGAAGUGUAGUGACCCGUCUGGGGGCCACCCAGUUCCAAACUUUGGCCAUUCUACUUCGCAGAGUGUCCAGAGUUUGCCUUUUUUAAGGCGGACCCCGUAAUCAUCUGAGAAGCCUAGAGAGAAAUUCUGCAACAUACACUGGAGAGGACUCCAAUCUUUAUGGGGCCGGGAAGAAGAGUUUACUAUUCUGGAGGCAAUUAACAAGGUUUGAACAAAAAUAUUAAACCCAGCAUGGACAAAGAUAUUCACGGCCUGGGAGGCUAUGGUAUCAGAAGAACAGAAGUAUUAUAGCUAGAAGAAGUAGGAAAACAACUAUAGCCAAUAUUUCUUGCCACAUAAGGUCUGUCUCCUCAAGCUUCGAGAUCUAUGGAGAGGAUAAGAGGUGGGUCCAAGGGAUCCUCAGCCAGUGGGACUUAGGUGACCCCCCCUUCUUGACUUAUAUCCCAAAUAACUUUGGUGUCUCCACGACUCGAAAGCAAAAUGUUCAAACUCGGUCCUUUCCUUCACGGGUUUAAGGAGGGAGAACACAGCCAAGUCUUAGAGACGCUGGACUUGCUGCAACACAGGAAAAUGAGAUGUGCAGGGUAAGGGAUGGGGAUGAGGAGGAAAGGGGCCACUUGGAUUUCCCUAAAGGUUGGAGAGUAGCCAAAAGAGGUAAAAUAAGAGUCCAGACAGAGUAGAGCAGUAUGGGUGUAGGUUUCUCUGCACAGUGCCUUAUUUAAGGGCAUGGGAAAAGUUAUGGGAUGACAGAAAAGGUGAGUAAGGAGGUCAGCAGGGUGGCUAUUUUGGAUCCACCACUGGUCUAAGGAGAAGGUGGACCAGUCGUUGGGGCGUGGGGUAUGGCAAUCCAAACGCCAGCAAUCUUUAUGGUGCCAGAAAUCCUAAACGGGUGAAUGUCUUCCACACCCUUCCCCAUAACAACACCUAAUUUGUUUCUGACAGGAAAGGCAGGACUGGGAUGGCCAGCCCAACCGACUAAUGAGGAAUUUGACCUCCUGGGAUAGAAAAUCUGUACUAAGGACCUUGAAGAAGUCCUUGCCCAGUCAUUUUGGGCAGUAUCGACGAUCCGACAUAUGAAAUUUAGACAGACACUAAACAGGACAAUAGGCACUGGGGUAUAUAAACAAGCAUGGCAAUUUUUAUAGACAGACAAGGGGAGGGGGUCCCGUGAUGGGAUCAGUCAGAUGCCCUCCUGGCUGCUCCCCUUUCGGGGACUUAGGCUCCUCUUGGCAUUGGCAGGCUGGUAUAAACCCCUGGCUUGGAUCGAGCUAUGCCUGAUGCCGCCCUAAGCCUUAUGAGGUCACCACGGAACCACAGGUGAGGGCCUUCUCGAAUUCCCUAGCUUUCACCCUGGAGCUACAAACUGGAAAUUCAAGCGCAAGCCCUUGAACUCCACAUUCACUCACUCACUCACUCACUCAGAGUUUAUUACAAUUUUUAUACCCAUUCUAAAACAGAGAUCUCCCGGAGACCUGAAUGAGAGAGGGAGAAGAGAUAGAGAGAGAGAGAGACUAGACUUAACAGAGAAUCCUGACAGAAACCAGGACUCUGUCCUCCAGUGUCCUGGAGCAUGGACAGAGUCUGAGGGAGGACCUUCGUCAGGGCCGUUUCCCUCCCAGAGAGACAGAGUCAGAUCUGACUUACCUUCCCGGGACUAGAGACUGAGGACUCAGGAGUUGAAUUUGGCUGGGCGCACCGGCAGUCGAUCCGUUCCCCUCCAGAAGACAGUGGCCUGUGGAGCCCUGGAACGUCUUCAGGUGGCCCUGUAAGCCAGCUGUCUGUCUGGGGAAGCCCGGAAUGAGUCAGGUCUUCACCCGGUGGCGAAUCUCUCUGGGGCUUCCAAAUGUCGUAACCGAGCAAGUCAUAGAGAGAAUGCCACACUCUGAGACUAAUUCAGGAGUCCUUUAUUGCUGGCGACUGAGAAAGAGCUAGAGCUUGAAAUUCUCUCGGUCCGGAAGAAGAGGCUAGAGUUCUUUUUAUACCUUGGCCUAAAGAGGGGAGGGGGAGUCUAGCUGAAGCAAUUUUUUACAGAAGCAGAACAGGAAAAAAUUAAAAGAUAAAUGGUUACAGAAACAGUUACAGGAAAAUAAACAGUUCCAGGUGCAGGGGCUUAAAGUAUCCCAAAGUGAUAAAAGCAGGGGCUUUGGAUACCACCAACCAAGUGUGCUCCCAGGAGCUGCUGGUACAGCUUGCCUCAGUAUCUUAUCAAUAAGCGCAUUCUUGGAUGUGCUUGGAGUCAGCUUGCACCAGUUAUGUCCUUAAGGAGGGGGACAAGGGGCUGCAAGCGAAGAAACCAAGCUAAGACUCUCUCAGCUAUUGACUCUCUCGAUAUUGACUCUCAAUUGAGUCUCCCAAGCUAUUGACUCUCUCAGCUAAGAAAGAGUCAAUCAGGAUAAAACAAGAUAGGGUAUCACAAUUUGAUCUGCAAGAUUAUUUCCUGGACUUGUGAAAGGCGAGUCGUUUUGGUGCCCUGGGACAUGUACAAUAGCUAUCUCUUCUGGCAAUUGGAGAUUGUUGAGGACACGAGCAUCAGUUCUCUAUGAACUAAAUCUUGGCCUCUACUAUUGAUAAGAGCCCUCUCCAUCCAAAUUUUCCCAAAUGUGUGUGCCUCCCCAGAGGGAUACUUAGAGUCAGUAUAGAUAGAUUUUCUUGGUUUUGUAAAUGUCCUAAAGCUUGGCUGAGUGCAAACAGUUCACACCCUUGGACAGACCAAUUAUUAGACCCCCUUCCUGAUUUUACUUUUUUAACAGUCUUUCCAUUAAUCACUGAAUACCUAUUAUGUCUCUUUCUUUUAAUCACCUGGGAGGUUCCAUCUAUGAAUAAGUGCCACCCUGUCUUGAAGGGAGUUUUUCCUAAGUCUGGUUGAACUUUCGUAUGGUAAUUAAUUCGAUUUAAACACGCGUGCUCUCUCGUUUUACGUUUGGAUCCCCCGUUAAAGAGCCUGCUGAAUAAAGUGAAUUAUUAGUACUUAAUAUUAAAUCACCUUUUUCCCAGAAAGAUAGCCUCAUAUUUUAAAAUUUUUGAGUUGGUAAUCUCCCUCCUUGCGUUUUGAUUUAAUAUAGUUUUAACUUGGUGGGUUGUGGCCUGAAGCGGCUGGGGAGUAACUUGAAACCUCAGCUGAAGGGACAGCACAGGCUGGGGCGUGGCCUGAAACAGCUGGGGAGUAACCUGAAACCACAGCCGGAGGGACCUGAGAGGGGAACCAAAGGGGCAGGAUUGGGGGCGCUGAAGGAAGGAAGGUGAUUUAGAGGAUCCCAUGUCUUGGUAGGUAUGGGUUGUCUAGGCAUGGGAACUCUUUCCUUUUUAGAAAGGUUGGUUUCUGAUUUUCUCCCUCCAGAGUCUAAAGGGUAAAGGAGAACUGGUCCCUGCCGCCAGCAGAGGGCGUAAUCGAUUUUUCCUGGGACACAGGGCUCUUACUGUUAACAUAUUUGAUUAACAGCUGACAAAUUCGCUCUUCAUUAGACUUAAAUUUUGGCCAGAAAAGUGAGGGCUUAAGGAUGGGUUCUCGAACUUAAAUAAAACAACAAUAUUCUAUCAUCUGCUGUUUUUGUUUAUACUUGGUUCUCUUAUUAUUUUUUCAAUACUUUAGCAUAAGCCCCAAGGGGCUAUCAGAAGGAAAUUCAUCACUCUCUAGACUCUUUAGUUUUCCUGUCUUACUUGAAACGUUCCCCAUCUUAGGGAUUAUGGGGAGGAGGCCCAACCCCUCCUGUGAGAUUUCUACCCUCCCCCUUCCUGGAGGCUUACUGAGGCUUUGGGGAAAGGCUCCAACCCAACCUGUUUGGAUUUCUACCCUCCCCCUUCCUCUUUGUCUACUCUGUCUGUUCCUGACUCUAGUUGACAGAUGGCAGCAUGAGGCCAUAGAGAAGACUCACUCACUCCACAUAACCACCAUACUAAGUCCCAUUCAUACACUGUCAGCCUCCAGCUUAUCCCAACCACCUGGGAAAUACUUUGUCACCUUCGCCAAGUCUCCUACCUUAUUCCAUGCACAAGAAUUUCCUGGUCCUCUUAUUGUUGCGGUCUUGCAAGCUUCUCCUCCCCGCUUUGCUGAGAUCCAGACUUAUUUGUCACAAAGCGGGGGGGGGGCCCUGAUCUCCCUCAACCUAGGGGCACGGUAACUAGACAGUAGGAUGCGUCCCCUCCGGGUGGGGUGACCGAAGGCCCCCUUCCCAAAGGAGAAGAUUCGAGCCCCAAAGUUGGGCUCCAGAACUGUUAGGAAUAACGCUCAAAAUCUUAAGGAAAUUGAACACUUGAACAAAGGAUUCUUAGCAAAGCAAUUUUACUUCUGCGCAGAGAGGUGCCUCCUUGUCCAGUCGCCAUGAGAGCACACCUGAAAAAGGGGCACGAGAGCCUUUACUCCUGACACAAGUACUGCCCCUGUACCCUUUCUCCAUUGGCCAGGGUCAGGUCGUACAAUCUAAACUAAUCCUGGUUGGCUAAACAUUGGAUUUUUUUUAGAUAAGGUGGGCACGUAAAAAAGGCAGAGAAUAAAGGGGAAGGGGUGUCUGUAAUGAGCUAAAAAGUUAGUCCUCUUUCCAAAUAAGGAAAGGAAUGUGAGCAGGUACAGAUACCACCUGGUACUGUGGCAUGCCUGGGCAUGUAACAAAGGAAAAAAGAGAAAAAAGGAGAAAAAGGAAAAAAGGUGGAGGGAUUA